This 1030-nucleotide long non-coding RNA is filed under the name Actinidia chinensis (golden kiwifruit). RNAcentral describes it as "long non-coding RNA (ACHI_LNC000694)". The record is from RNAcentral. Lineage: Eukaryota; Viridiplantae; Streptophyta; Magnoliopsida; Ericales; Actinidiaceae.
CGGAACGCUACAUUAUCAUGUUCCGAAUCGCGAACCAACCACGUUUGGGAUCAUGCGAUCCAGAUCGCAAUUCGUUAGGGAUGGUGUGAAUUGUGAUAAUCCUGUCCGGAAGACUCCGAAAAAUUCAAGAGAGAUAGUGAUGAUCUUUCAACUGCUUCCAGCAAGAUCCUUAACCUUCCUUCCCGACCUCCCCAACACAUAUCGAACAGUACUCACCGAAUCUAUCACAAAUUAAAGAAAACAGAAUAAAAUAAAUCACAACAUCAACAGCUUAUGAAGGAAGAAACAAUCCUAAAAUAACCCUCCAACCAAAACAACCGAAAAAAUAGCACAAAACAAAAAAUUCUAUUGGACACCGAAAGAUAUCAACCGACAGAGGAGGAGGAAAGACGCAUUUGAAUCUCAACUUCAUAUUUUGUGGAAAAUUGGAAUUUGCUUCGAAAAAUUGUUGUUUGGCUAUCUCAAUCCUUGCUCUAGUUUCACAAGUUUGAGUUGGAAAUUGGGUGUUAAUUAAAAAGGCUGAUUUGAUACUAACCAUACACUGAUCUUCGUCGAAAUCUUAUAAAAAAAUUCCCAACUUAUCCUAAAACCCAUUUUAACCAUUUAAAGAAAACAUUCCAAUGCUCCGAUUCCUACUCUCUUAAAAACAUUCCAUAUUCGUUUGAAAAUUGAAAAAUCUUUGUCUAUGCCUUACUUUGAUGAAAAAUUAGGAUUUUCACCUUGAUUCAAUACGAAUUUGGUGACAGAUUGGAGCUCAUAUUUGCCUUUUCAUAUCAAAUCUAAAUUUGAAGAAAAGAAUUGGUGAAUGAUUGGAGAUGCACUUUACAGAUAGAUAUGAGUUCGAAGAACUUGUUCCGUAUCAGAAUUCAGAGAGAGAGAUUGAAUUUCACUUCCAAUUUGUAUGCGUCAAAAGUGACCCUAGACUCAUAUUCGAGCGAUCCAUUGUAAACGCAUCGUGAGAGAAACGAGAGAGAGACGGAGAAGAGAGAGAGAGAGAGAGGGCUCACUCUUGAAGGAGGUUGAGUAAGAA